GGACGCAAGUCUGAUGGAGCAACGCCGCGUGAGUGAAGAAGGCUUUCGGGUCGUAAAACUCUGUUGUUGGAGAAGAAUGGUCGGCAGAGUAACUGUUGUCGGCGUGACGGUAUCCAACCAGAAAGCCACGGCUAACUACGUGCCAGCAGCCGCGGUAAUACGUAGGUGGCAAGCGUUAUCCGGAUUUAUUGGGCGUAAAGCGAGCGCAGGCGGUUUUUUAAGUCUGAUGUGAAAGCCCUCGGCUUAACCGAGGAAGUGCAUCGGAAACUGGGAAACUUGAGUGCAGAAGAGGACAGUGGAACUCCAUGUGUAGCGGUGAAAUGCGUAGAUAUAUGGAAGAACACCAGUGGCGAAGGCGGCUGUCUGGUCUGUAACUGACGCUGAGGCUCGAAAGCAUGGGUAGCGAACAGGAUUAGAUACCCUGGUAGUCCAUGCCGUAAACGAUGAAUGCUAGGUGUUGGAGGGUUUCCGCCCUUCAGUGCCGCAGCUAACGCAUUAAGCAUUCCGCCUGGGGAGUACGACCGCAAGGUUGAAACUCAAAGGAAUUGACGGGGGCCCGCACAAGCGGUGGAGCAUGUGGUUUAAUUCGAAGCAACGCGAAGAACCUUACCAGGUCUUGACAUCUUUUGAUCACCUGAGAGAUCAGGUUUCCC
RNAcentral lists this ribosomal RNA (653 nucleotides) under Lacticaseibacillus rhamnosus. RNAcentral describes it as "bacterial SSU rRNA". It matches the Rfam family "Bacterial small subunit ribosomal RNA", at positions 373 to 1017 of the family's 1533-position model. Lineage: Bacteria; Bacillati; Bacillota; Bacilli; Lactobacillales; Lactobacillaceae. The record is from RNAcentral.